Pantherophis guttatus is the source of this 2818-nucleotide long non-coding RNA. RefSeq lists it as uncharacterized. The record is from RefSeq and is a predicted model, not a curated record. NCBI's taxonomy places the organism in Eukaryota, Metazoa, Chordata, Lepidosauria, Squamata, Colubridae.
CGAAAUCAAACGUGUGUAUGCGUGUGUGUGUGUGUCUGUGUGGAUCCGAAGGCACCGGCGCAGGGGACCGUUUAAAAAUAGGUCCGCGCCAGCAGUUGGGAUCCCCCGGGGGCUAAGAGGAAAGAGCCCCCUUCGCCCAUCCAUCGAGGUCGGCUACUUGGCGGAGGGGAGUGGGGAAGGACCAGAAAGGGGGGGGAGGUGGAGGAGAAGGAGGCAACCCCCAACUCCAAGCCUACCCAAAGGCCGACCUAUCGGAGGGAAAAAAAGGACCGAAAGGUAAAAGGGGCGAGGAACCUCCCGUCGCCCAACCUGCUCAGAUUGAAGUGCGCCAGACCUCUGAGCCGGGGAAGGGAGGCGGCGACGAUGUAUAUAAUCUCUUCUUCGCUCUCAAAAGCAGAAAACAGCAAUUUUGACUUGAUCUCUCUGAAAAUGCAGCGAAUAAGGCUUUUUAUGGGAAGAACCAAGAUUAAAAUAUACAAUGUUUCUUCUGCUGGAAGAUAUCGGAGUACGGCUUUGAUACAUCAGCCAUGAUAUCCUUCUAUACCAGCAGGGGGUUUGGGUUUGGAGGUAUUGUUUCGUGCUGGUUCUGCUCAUUCCUUCAUGGGUAGUUCCAGUUGUAAUGAGAGAGGAGAAUGAGCUUGCUCAUCUCCCUUUGCUUUUUAAUAUCUAUGUACAUUUGUUGGAUAAGGCUAUCUAUCAGUUCAGGGUGCAGUAUCAUAAAUAUGCCAGUGACUAUCAGCUAUAUGAAGGGACGUGGUGGCUCAGUGGCUAAGACGCUGAACUUGUCGAUAGAAAGGUCGGCAGUUCAGUGAUUCGAAUCCCUAGUGCCGCAUAAUGGGGUAAACUCCCAUUACUUGUCCCAGCUUCUGCCAACCUAACAGUUCGAAAGCACGUAAAAAAUGCAAGUAGAAAAAUAGGGACUACCUUUGGUAGGAAAGUAACAGUAUUCCGUGCGCCUUUGCCGUUUAGUCAUGCUGGUCACAUGACCACAGAGACAUCUUUGGACAGCGCUGGCUCUUCGGCUUUGAAAUGGACAUGAGCACUGCCCCCUAGAGUCAGGAACGACUAGCACAUAUGUGCAAGGGGAACUCUUACCUUUACCUUUAUCAGCUAUAUAUAAUUACCACAGGUUGAAUAAGGGAGUCUAUCAAAAUCUCAUUCCAGUAUAUGGAGGCUACAGAUGGAAUUAUUUUCUGUUGCAGUUUUCUUUCAUACCCUGCAUUACCUCUUGAUGUUCCCUGUGCCAUCUUUUUGAGGUAGGCCAGGUCACUGCAUGACUGGAAUUUUGUUCACCUACUGUAGGCUACAGUGACAGUAUCUUGAAAGUCUGUGUUUUCCCUUUCCUCCCUCUCUUUACCCCAAGGAGUUAAGGUGGAGCCAGUUUGAAUUUCUUUCCCCUGCUUUUUUUGGCUUUCUGGACUUAAAACAUGUUUUUGCAACUAUUGUUGCAUAGUUUAUCUGUCUUUGUGGCUGUCCCCACCCUGAAGACCUGGGGGUACUCUUGGAUUCAUAACUUGAUAGGCAAACAGAAGCUGUGGCUGGGGAGGAAGGGGGGAGGGCUUUUUGCAGCUGGUGCCUCAAUUGCAGCCUUUCCUGGAAUGUGAGAAUCUUACAAAAAAAGAACUCAUGCUUUCAUUAUCACUUUUGUGGAUCACUGUAAUGCCUCAUUGGGCUAUUUUGAAGAUACCUACAACUUACAUUAAUCUAGAAUGCAGUGGUCCAGUGAUUAGUAGGUACGUGGUUCCAGUCAGUGGUGAAAUCCAAAUUCUUUUACUACUGGUUCUGUGGGCAUGGCUUGGUGGGCAUGACAGGGGAAGGCUACUGCAAAAUCUCCAUUCCCACCCCACUCCUGGGGGAAGGAUAUUGCAAAAUCUCCAUUCCCACCCCACUCUGGGACCAGCCAGAAGUGGUAUUUGCCGAUUCUUUGAACUGCUCAAAAUUUCCGCUUCCAGUUCUCCAGAAUCUGUCAGAACCUGCUGGAUUUCACCUCUACUUCCAGUGCUCCAGUCCCUAUACUGACUAGAGCUUAGAAACUAUAUUGGCUUCUGAGCACAGUUCAGGUUAAGGCUGUACACUCUUUGAUUCUGAUAUAGCUCCAAGGCUGCUCUCUCCAUCCAGUAUCCACCUAUUCAACUGUCAGCCUCCCAAGUAGACCAGAGAGGAAACACAACAAGAUGAGUUAAUUCUACUUUAUUGAAGACUACAUUAACUCAAUGUUGCAAGUCAGAAAAUACAAAUGGCUUGCCAUUUCUUUUUAACCAUCUGAUAAUUUAGGGCAAACCCUUUCUUAGUUUCUUUCUCUGCCUGCUAGUCAGUUGUGGGCUCCUCCAUUUUUUUAUCUGAUUGUUCCCUAGCCAGCAUCUUUGCUCCCGAUCUUCCAAGAUCAUUCUCACAUUGGAUUGCGCCAGCACAUAGAUCCUGGGAAAAUUUGCUAAUAGUUCUUCACUUUGGGGAGAAGGUAUACAGAGGCUUAUUAGUAUAUUUUCUCCAUUACAGUACCUGCUCUUCAAAACAUCCUUCCUCAAAUAUUCAAUCAGCUCCCCCUCUUUUACUUUACAGACAUUAUUGAGAGCAGAUUGAGGACAAUUUUUUUGAAUUAUAAAUAUUGAUGUCUAUAUGUUGGUUUUAUUCUCUAGGUUUUUUUCUUCUUCAAAAAAUAAACUCUAAUAUGGAUUUUUAAUUGUUCUUUAUUUCUUCUAUCGAUCUAAGUAAAAAUGUUUUAGACCAUGGAUAUUUUAGCAUAAUUUGAUGGAAGUACCGCUUGCCAAUAAUCUUCUGUUUGUGAUGGGAAAUGAUUGAAUAAAUGAAUAACUUAUGU